RNAcentral lists this transfer RNA (67 nucleotides) under Marmota monax (woodchuck). Its description in RNAcentral is "tRNA.Ala". Lineage: Eukaryota; Metazoa; Chordata; Mammalia; Rodentia; Sciuridae. The record is from RNAcentral.
GGUUGUGGCUCAGUGGAAAAGCACUUGUCUUGCAUAUGUGAGGUACUGGGUUCGAUUCUCAGCACCG